GGAGAUGUAGCUUAGUGGUAGAGCACUUACCUAGUAUGUACAAGGCCCUAGGUUCAAUCCCUAGUACCGCAA
This 72-nucleotide transfer RNA is filed under the name Heterocephalus glaber (naked mole-rat). It matches the Rfam family "tRNA". From Rfam's summary of the family: Transfer RNA (tRNA) molecules are approximately 80 nucleotides in length. Their secondary structure includes four short double-helical elements and three loops (D, anti-codon, and T loops). Lineage: Eukaryota; Metazoa; Chordata; Mammalia; Rodentia; Bathyergidae. The record is from Rfam by way of RNAcentral.